CAUCCGCGUGAGUGAAGAAGGCCUUCGGGUUGUAAAGCUCUUUCGCAAGGGAAGAAAACUUAUGAUCGAAUAAAUCAUGAGGUUGACGGUACCUUGAUAAGAAGCACCGGCUAACUACGUGCCAGCAGCCGCGGUAAUACGUAGGGUGCGAGCGUUAAUCGGAAUUACUGGGCGUAAAGCGUGCGCAGGCGUUUUUGUAAGUCGGAUGUGAAAUCCCCGGGCUCAACCUGGGAACUGCGUUCGAAACUGCAAGGCUAGAGUGUGUCAGAGGGGGGUAGAAUUCCACGUGUAGCAGUGAAAUGCGUAGAGAUGUGGAGGAAUACCAAUGGCGAAGGCAGCCCCCUGGGAUAACACUGACGCUCAUGCACGAAAGCGUGGGGAGCAAACAGGAUUAGAUACCCUGGUAGUCCACGCCCUAAACGAUGUCAGCUAGUUGUUGGUAGAGUAAAAUCUAUGAGUAACGUAGCUAACGCGUGAAGUUGACCGG
RNAcentral lists this ribosomal RNA (487 nucleotides) under uncultured bacterium. Its description in RNAcentral is "bacterial SSU rRNA". It matches the Rfam family "Bacterial small subunit ribosomal RNA", at positions 394 to 872 of the family's 1533-position model. The record is from RNAcentral.